GCUGGAGGAAUUCAGCAGAACCACAGAAGACAGAACAAGCAAUGUGCUUCCAGCCGCUGCCAGAGGAGAACCAGUGAGGCCACCAGUGCGCAGGAUAGUUCAUCGUGGAUGUGUCCAGAAUCCUUCCUGGAGCUACACCCACAGAGAAGAAAAGCUCAUUCCCAGGGAGAGCCCCACGCCAGCUGAAGAGAGGCUGGCUGAUUCGAUGUCCCAGGAGAAAUGAUGAAAGGCAACUUGGGAGUCUCCCCCUAACCAGGGGUGGAAGAACAAAAAAUGGCAUCCUCGCCCUCAGAUGACUCAUUCCUGGGGCAGAUAACGCGUUUCUGAGGCACAGAACUUCACUACCUCAGAUCUUUUGAAAACCUGUUUAUGAGUGUUCCUAAAGACAAGAACAUGACGAGCUUUUGUACUCCUUCACCUUGGUGUUGAGUGAUGGCAUACUAGAGAUGUUUUGGAACCCCUUUGACUCCUGCAAAACAUCCAAAGAGGACUGGGUGGGUGGGUAAUAAAAAUAACAAACUCACAUUAGUUA
Molecule: non-coding RNA, 532 nt
Organism: Callorhinus ursinus (northern fur seal)
Lineage: Eukaryota; Metazoa; Chordata; Mammalia; Carnivora; Otariidae
Source: RefSeq, a predicted model, not a curated record